UAAUGCUAGCCCGCACAACACCAAACCCAACUAUAUUCUAAUAUAAAUUAAAACAUUCACCCUAAUAAAAGUAUAGGAGAUAGAAAUUUUAAUCGGCGCUAUAGAGUGAAGUACCGCAAGGGAAAGAUGAAAGAUUAAUUAAAAGUAAUUAACAGCAAAGCUUACCCCUUGUACCUUUUGCAUAAUGAUUUAACUAGAAUUAUUUGACAAAAAGAAUUUUAGCCAAACAACCCGAAACCAGACGAGCUACCCAAGAGCAGCUAAAGAGCAAACUCGUCUAUGUGGCAAAACAGUGAGAAGACUCUUAGGUAGUGGUGAAAAACCUAUCGAGCCUGGUGAUAGCUGGUUGUCCAGGACAGAAUUUUAGUUCAACUUUAAGCCCUGCCUAAAAAAUUAAUAGCUAAAAUGCAGACUUAAAAUAUAAUCUAAAAGGGUACAGCCUUUUAGAAUUAGGAUACAACCUUAAUUAGAGAGUAAGCCCCAAAAACCCCCAUAGUUGGCCUAAAAGCAGCCAUCAAUUAAGAAAGCGUUCAAGCUCAACGACCUCAUUAAUCCCAAUUCCAAGCAAACAUCUGCGAUCCCCUAACUUAAUACUGGACUAUUCUAUUACAAAAUAGAAGAAAUACUGUUAAUAUGAGUAACAAGAAUUAAUUUCUCCCCGCACAAGCCUAUAUCAGAGCGGAUGCCCCACUGAUAAUUAACAGCAAAAUAAAUACAACACCACAACUAAACCAUUUGUUAAUUCAACUGUUAACCCAACACAGGAGUGCACAAAGGAAAGAUUAAAAGAAGUAAAAGGAACUCGGCAAA
Molecule: ribosomal RNA, 810 nt
Filed under: Stenonycteris lanosa (long-haired rousette)
Lineage: Eukaryota; Metazoa; Chordata; Mammalia; Chiroptera; Pteropodidae
Description: partial 16S ribosomal RNA
Rfam family: Bacterial large subunit ribosomal RNA (bases 154-810)
Source: RNAcentral